ACGGAGGAUCCAAGCGUUAUCCGGAAUUACUGGGCGUAAAGAGUUGCGUAGGUGGCAUAGUAAGCAUACGGUGAAAGCGUCUCGCUCAACGAGAUACACAUCAUAUGAACUGCUAAGCUAGAGGACGAGAGAGGUAGAUGGAAUUCCCAGUGUAGGAGUGAAAUCCGUAGAUAUUGGGAGGAACACCGAUGGCGUAGGCGGUCUACUGGCUCGUUCCUGACACUAAGGCACGAAAGCGUGGGAGCAAACGGGA
Molecule: ribosomal RNA, 253 nt
Filed under: uncultured prokaryote
Description: partial 16S ribosomal RNA
Rfam family: Bacterial small subunit ribosomal RNA
Source: RNAcentral